AUGCAAAGAACUUUGAAAAGAGAGUUAAAGAGUACCUGAAAUUGCUGAAAGGGAAGCGAAGGAAACCAGUGUUAGUUGCGUCAUAUUUCCCCAGUUGCUUGCAGCUGGGGCGCUGUGGCCAGCGUUGUCACGCUUGGUUGGUUGCGCCGGAUGCUUUGGCGGGGGAGUUUAUACCCCGUCUAUUUGCGGUGCGAUUGACUGAGCGUGUCGAAAUGGUUUUCUUUUCCCCGUCUAGAAACACGGACCAAGGAGUCUAACAUAUGUGCGAGUACAGGGGUGUCAAUCUCUUGUGCGCAAUGAAAGUGACAGUGGCUGGAACGUUUUGUUGCACAGUCCGCCGGCCAUAAUCCCUCGGGAGAACGGUCUGAGUGUGAGCAUACAUGUUGGGACCCGAAAGAUGGUGAACUAUGCCUGAAUAGGGUGAAGCCAGGGGAAACUCUGGUGGAGGCUCGUAGCGAUUCUGACGUGCAAAUCGAUCGUCAAAUUUGGGUAUAGGGGCGAAAGACUAAUCGAACUAUCUAGUAGCUGGUUCCCUCCGAAAUUUCCCUCAGGAUAGCUGCGAUCGAAUAUCAAUUUUAUCA
RNAcentral lists this ribosomal RNA (581 nucleotides) under Sellaphora capitata. RNAcentral's name for it is "eukaryotic LSU rRNA". It matches the Rfam family "Eukaryotic large subunit ribosomal RNA", at positions 364 to 1006 of the family's 3401-position model. Lineage: Eukaryota; Bacillariophyta; Bacillariophyceae; Sellaphorales; Sellaphoraceae. The record is from RNAcentral.